Molecule: ribosomal RNA, 424 nt
Filed under: Blastocystis sp. subtype 1
Lineage: Eukaryota; Bigyra; Opalinata; Blastocystidae
Description: SSU rRNA
Rfam family: Eukaryotic small subunit ribosomal RNA
Source: RNAcentral
ACAAUGUACAACUCUUAUCGAUAAGCCAUUGGAGGGCAAGUCUGGUGCCAGCAGCCGCGGUAAUUCCAGCUCCAAUAGCGUAUAUUAACGUUGUUGCAGUUAAAAAGCUCGUAGUUGAAGUGUGGGUGAUCGCUGUUGUGAGACUUCGGUCUCUCGAUAGUAAGUCACCCCCUUCCAGUAUCCAGUAGUGGGUAUUCAGUUACUUACUAUUGUGUGUUGGUCCUUUACUGUGAGAAAAUUAGAGUGUUCAAAGCAGGCGUUUGCUUGAAUAGAUUAGCAUGGAAUAAUAAUUGAAGGCUUUCGUGUUCGAUUUGAUUGGUUUGUUCAUGGAAGCAAGGUUAAAAGGAACAGUUGGGGGUAUUCAUAUUCACUAGUUAGAGGUGAAAUUCUCGGAUUUAUGGAAGAUGAACAAGUGCGAAAGCAA